UACCCGAACCUCGGACAGCAGCUGUGAACCGGUAUUAGCCUGAUGCAGUACCGGUACUCACCGACUCAGGUACCGGUACUCCACUCAAACUUCACAAACCCGAUAGCACCUAAACAUGUAAUCCCUCUGGGGUACCGGUACUUCUCUUAGGUACCGGUACACAAUACUCAAAAUCCUGUUUUUGUAGAUUUCAGUGUUCGAACUCCAACUCUCGCAGCUCUCAGUCCGUUUUCACGUCUAUUUCGCGUCAAAACGACCCUAACUCGUCCCGACACUCUACAGAUGUGUCAACAAGCCACUAAUGAUGUAGUCAGUCAAACAACUAAGUCCCAAAGACACUACAUUCUUCCCUACCACAAAAAGUUUCGUCCUCGAAACUUAAAGUCAUACCUCAACACGGUACCUCAAACAAGUAGGGGUAGGACUCCCGCAUCACAGCCUCCGGCUCCCAAAUCGCCUCACGCUCCUCGUGAUUACUCAACUGCACUUUCACGUACGGUAUGACCCGAUUGCGCAAUUCUUUCGUCUGACGAUCUAGAAUCCGCAUCGGUCGCUCCUCGUACCUCAGGUCCUCGCCUAUCU
Molecule: long non-coding RNA, 582 nt
Filed under: Ananas comosus (pineapple)
Lineage: Eukaryota; Viridiplantae; Streptophyta; Magnoliopsida; Poales; Bromeliaceae
Description: long non-coding RNA (ACOM_LNC003843)
Source: RNAcentral